RNAcentral lists this ribosomal RNA (245 nucleotides) under uncultured bacterium. RNAcentral's name for it is "partial 16S ribosomal RNA". It matches the Rfam family "Bacterial small subunit ribosomal RNA", at positions 524 to 768 of the family's 1533-position model. The record is from RNAcentral.
UACGGAGGAUGCAAGCGUUAUCCGGAAUCAUUGGGCGUAAAGCGUCCGUAGGUGGUGGCACAAGUCUAUUGUUAAAGAGUGGGGCUUAACUCCAUCACAGCAGUAGAAACUGUGACACUAGAGAGUGGUAGGGGUCGAGGGAAUUCCCGGUGUAGCGGUGAAAUGCGUAGAGCUCGGGAAGAACACCAGUGGCGAAAGCGCUCGACUGGACCUCCUCUGACACUGAGGGACGAAAGCUAGGGGAG